GAUGAACGCUAGCUACAGGCUUAACACAUGCAAGGUCGAGGGGAAACGACAUCGAAAGCUUGCUUUUGAUGGGCGUCGACCGGCGCACGGGUGAGUAACGCGUAUCCAACCUGCCCACCACUUGGGGAUAACCUUGCGAAAGUAAGACUAAUACCCAAUGAUAUCUCUAGAAGACAUCUGAAAGAGAUUAAAGAUUUAUCGGUGAUGGAUGGGGAUGCGUCUGAUUAGCUUGUUGGCGGGGUAACGGCCCACCAAGGCGACGAUCAGUAGGGGUUCUGAGAGGAAGGUCCCCCACAUUGGAACUGAGACACGGUCCAAACUCCUACGGGAGGCAGCAGUGAGGAAUAUUGGUCAAUGGGCGGAAGCCUGAACCAGCCAAGUAGCGUGAAGGACGACUGCCCUAUGGGUUGUAAACUUCUUUUAUGCGGGGAUAAAGUUCGCCACGUGUGGCGUUUUGCAGGUACCGCAUGAAUAAGGACCGGCUAAUUCCGUG
Molecule: ribosomal RNA, 493 nt
Filed under: uncultured bacterium
Lineage: Bacteria
Description: bacterial SSU rRNA
Rfam family: Bacterial small subunit ribosomal RNA
Source: RNAcentral